UAAAGGUUUGGUCCCAGCCUUUCUAUUAGCUGUUUAUAAACUUACACAUGCAAGCAUCAACAAACCAGUGAGAAUGCCCUUAAAACCUUUCGCAGGAAAAAAGGAGCCGACAUCAAGCACGCAAAUUGCAGCUAAAAACGUCUUGCCCAACCACACCCCCACGGGAUACAGCAGUGAUAAACAUUAAGCAAUGAACGAAAGUUUGACUAAGUUAUAUAAAUAGAGGGUUGGUAAAUUUCGUGCCAGCCACCGCGGUCAUACGGUUAACCCUAGCUAAUAGGCUCAACGGUGUAAAGAGUGUAAAUUGACUCACCAAAAAUAAAUGAAGAUAAGAUAAAUUUAAGAUGUAUAAACCUCCAAAUUUACAAAAACUCAACAACGAAAGUGUCUUCAAUUAUUUAUAACAUACACGAUAGCUAGAACCUAAACUGGGAUUAGAUACCCCAUUAUAUCUAGCCAUAAACAUAAAUAAUCCACAACAAGAUUAUUCACCAGAGAACUACGGGCCACAGCCUAAAACUCAAAGGACUUGGCGGUGCUUCACAUCCACCUAGAGGAGCCUGUUCUAUAAUCGAUAAACCCCGAUCCACCUCACCAACCCUUGCUAAUUCAGUCUAUAUACCGCCAUCUUCAGCAAACCCUAAUUAAGGUACAUAAGUAAGCAUAAUAAUCUUUCAUAAAAACGUUAGGUCAAGGUGUAACCUAUGGGUUGGGAAGCAAUGGGCUACAUUUUUUAUUUAAAAACAUAACGGAACGUCUUAAUGAAAUUUAAGAUUAAAGGAGGAUUUAGCAGUAAAUUAAGAGUAGAGAGCUUAAUUGAAUUAGGCCAUGAAGCACGUACACACCGCCCGUCACCCUCCUCAAAUGUUAAAAAGUAAAAUAUAAUUUAAACCUUACCAAAAUACACUAGAGGAGACAAGUCGUAACAAGGUAAGUAUACUGGAAAGUGUACUUGGAUGAUAC
This 963-nucleotide non-coding RNA is filed under the name Neotetracus sinensis (Shrew gymnure). RNAcentral's name for it is "partial 12S ribosomal RNA". It matches the Rfam family "Bacterial small subunit ribosomal RNA". Lineage: Eukaryota; Metazoa; Chordata; Mammalia; Eulipotyphla; Erinaceidae. The record is from RNAcentral.